GACAGAGGGUGCAAACGUUGUUCGGAAUUACUGGGCGUAAAGCGCGUGUAGGCGGCUUUGCAAGUCGGGUGUGAAAGCCCUCAGCUCAACUGAGGAAGUGCGCCCGAAACUGCAGAGCUUGAGUGCCGGAGAGGGUGGCGGAAUUCCCCAAGUAGAGGUGAAAUUCGUAGAUAUGGGGAGGAACACCGGUGGCGAAGGCGGCCACCUGGACGGUAACUGACACUGAGACGCGAAAGCGUGGGGAGCAAACAGG
Molecule: ribosomal RNA, 253 nt
Filed under: uncultured bacterium
Lineage: Bacteria
Description: partial 16S ribosomal RNA
Rfam family: Bacterial small subunit ribosomal RNA
Source: RNAcentral